RNAcentral lists this ribosomal RNA (752 nucleotides) under uncultured organism. RNAcentral's name for it is "bacterial SSU rRNA". It matches the Rfam family "Bacterial small subunit ribosomal RNA", at positions 77 to 818 of the family's 1533-position model. The record is from RNAcentral.
CCUUCGGGAUGGCUAGAGUGGCGAACGGGUGAGUAACACGUAGGUGAUCUGCCCUUGAGUUGGGGAUAGCCCAUGGAAACAUGGGGUAAUACCGAAUACGCUCGCGACCCUGUGGGGAUGCGAGGAAAAGCGCUUCGGCGCUGCUCGAGGAUGAGCCUGCGGCUGAUUAGUUAGUUGGUGGGGUAACGGCCUACCAAGGCGACGAUCAGUAGCCGGCCUGAGAGGGUGAGCGGCCACACUGGGACUGAGAUACGGCCCAGACUCCUACGGGAGGCAGCAGCUAAGAAUCUUCUACAAUGGACGAAAGUCUGAUAGAGCGACGCCGCGUGGGUGAUGAAGGCCGGAAGGUUGUAAAGCCCUUUUCUAUUCGAGGAAUAAGGUGCGGAGGCAAUGCCACACUGAUGACGGUAGGGUAGGAAUAAGCCCCGGCCAAUUACGUGCCAGCAGCCGCGGUAACACGUAUGGGGCGAGCGUUGUUCGGAAUCAUUGGGCGUAAAGGGCGCGUAGGCGGAUAUGCAAGCUUGGUGUGAAAGACCGCAGCUCAACUGCGGGAGCGCGCUGAGAACUGCAUAUCUUGAGUUCAAGAGGGGAAGCUGGAAUUCCAGGUGUAGGGGUGAAAUCUGUAGAUAUCUGGAAGAACAUCAGUGGCGAAGGCGAGCUUCUGGCUUUGAACUGACGCUGAGGCGCGAAAAGCGUGGGGAGCGAACAGGAUUAGAUACCCUGGUAGUCCACGCUGUAAACGAUGUGCACUA